RNAcentral lists this ribosomal RNA (400 nucleotides) under uncultured bacterium. RNAcentral's name for it is "bacterial SSU rRNA". It matches the Rfam family "Bacterial small subunit ribosomal RNA", at positions 28 to 429 of the family's 1533-position model. The record is from RNAcentral.
GACGAACGCUGGCGGCGUGCUUAACACAUGCAAGUCGAGCGGUAAGGCCCUUUCGGGGUACGACGAGCGGCGAACGGGUGAGUAACACGUGGGUGACCUGCCCUCAGCUCUGGGAGUAAGACCCGGGAAACCGUAGGGUCUAAUACCGGAUAUGACUCCAUGACGCAUGUUGUGGGGUGGAAAGCCUUGUGCGGCUGAGGAUGGGCCCGCGGCCUAUCAGCUUGUUGGUGGGGUGAUGGCCUACCAAGGCGACGACGGGUAGCCGGCCUGAGAGGGCGACCGGCCACACUGGGACUGAGACACGGCCCAGACUCCUACGGGAGGCAGCAGUGGGGAAUCUUGCGCAAUGGGCGAAAGCCUGACGCAGCGACGCCGCGUGAGGGAUGACGGCCUGUGUAAC